AGCGAACGCUGGCGGCAGGCCUAACACAUGCAAGUCGAACGAACUCUUCGGAGUUAGUGGCGGACGGGUGAGUAACACGUGGGAACGUGCCUUUUGGUUCGGAAUAACUCAGGGAAACUUGUUCUAAUACCGAAUGUGCCCUUCGUGGGAAAGAUUUAUCGCCAUUAGAGCGGCCCGCGUCUGAUUAGCUAGUUGGUGAGGUAACGGCUCACCAAGGCGACGAUCAGUAGCUGGUCUGAGAGGAUGACCAGCCACACUGGGACUGAGACACGGCCCAGACUCCUACGGGAGGCAGCAGUGGGGAAUCUUGCGCAAUGGGCGAAAGCCUGACGCAGCCAUGCCGCGUGAAUGAUGAAGGUCUUAGGAUUGUAAAAUUCUUUCACCGGGGACGAUAAUGACGGUACCCGGAGAAGAAGCCCCGGCUAACUUCGUG
This 433-nucleotide ribosomal RNA is filed under the name uncultured bacterium. RNAcentral describes it as "partial 16S ribosomal RNA". It matches the Rfam family "Bacterial small subunit ribosomal RNA", at positions 29 to 507 of the family's 1533-position model. The record is from RNAcentral.